RNAcentral lists this ribosomal RNA (1352 nucleotides) under uncultured bacterium. RNAcentral's name for it is "bacterial SSU rRNA". It matches the Rfam family "Bacterial small subunit ribosomal RNA", at positions 51 to 1400 of the family's 1533-position model. The record is from RNAcentral.
ACACAUGCAAGUCGAACGGAGCUUGAAGAGCUUGCUUUUCUUGACUUAGUGGCGAACGGGUGAGUAACGCGUGAGUAACCUGCCCUGGAGUGGGGGACAACAGUUGGAAACGACUGCUAAUACCGCAUAAGCCCACGGAUUCGCAUGGAUCUGCGGGAAAAGGAUUUAUUCGCUUCAGGAUGGACUAGCGUCCAAUUAGCUAGUUGGUGAGGUAACGGCCCACCAAGGCGACGAUGCAUAGCCGGCCUGAGAGGGCGGACGGCCACAUUGGGACUGAGACACGGCCCAAACUCCUACGGGAGGCAGCAGUAGGGAAUUUUCGUCAAUGGGGGGAACCCUGAACGAGCAAUGCCGCGUGAGUGAGGAAGGUCUUCGGAUCGUAAAGCUCUGUUGUAAGAGAAAAACGGCACUCAUAGGGAAUGAUGAGUGAGUGAUGGUAUCUUACCAGAAAGUCACGGCUAACUACGUGCCAGCAGCCGCGGUAAUACGUAGGUGGCGAGCGUUAUCCGGAAUGAUUGGGCGUAAAGGGUGCGUAGGUGGCAGAUCAAGUCUGGAGUAAAAGGUAUGGGCUCAACCCGUACUUGCUCUGGAAACUGAUCAGCUAGAGAACAGAAGAGGACGGCGGAACUCCAUGUGUGGCGGUAAAAUGCGUAGAUAUAUGGAAGAACACCGGUGGCGAAGGCGGCCGUCUGGUCUGGAUUCUGACACUGAAGCACGAAAGCGUGGGGAGCAAAUAGGAUUAGAUACCCUAGUAGUCCACGCCGUAAACGAUGAGAACUAGGUGUUGGGGGAAUAACACAGUGCCGCAGUUAACGCAAUAAGUUCUCCGCCUGGGGAGUAUGCACGCAAGUGUGAAACUCAAAGGAAUUGACGGGGGCCCGCACAAGCGGUGGAGUAUGUGGUUUAAUUCGAAGCAACGCGAAGAGCCUUACCAGGCCUUGACAUCCCUUGCAGAGGUAUAGAGAUAUAUCCGAGGUUAUCAAGGAGACAGGUGGUGCAUGGUUGUCGUCAGCUCGUGUCGUGAGAUGUUGGGUUAAGUCCCGCAACGAGCGCAACCCUUGUGAUAUGUUACUAACAUUGAGUUGAGGACUCAUAUCAGACUGCCGGUGAUAAACCGGAGGAAGGUGGGGAUGACGUCAAAUCAUCAUGCCCCUUAUGGCCUGGGCUACACACGUACUACAAUGGCGUCUACAAAGAGCGGCAAGCCUGUGAAGGCAAGCGAAUCUCAUAAAGGACGUCUCAGUUCGGAUUGAAGUCUGCAACCCGACUUCAUGAAGCUGGAAUCGCUAGUAAUCGCGAAUCAGCAUGUCGCGGUGAAUACGUUCUCGGGCCUUGCACUCACCGCCCGUCAA